AGAAUAGCUCGUAGGGAACGGGUAGGUAAUGCGUAGGACGCUCCAACUUGACGCAUGUCUUGUUGGGAAAGUGUUUAGUGGCAUGGGAUGGGGUCGCGUCCUAUCAGCUUGUAGGCGGGGUAAUGGCCCACCUAGGCUUCGACGGGUAGCCGGCCUGAGAGGGCGGACGGCCACAUUGGGACUGAGAUACGGCCCAGACUCCUACGGGAGGCAGCAGUA
RNAcentral lists this ribosomal RNA (219 nucleotides) under uncultured Gardnerella sp. RNAcentral's name for it is "partial 16S ribosomal RNA". It matches the Rfam family "Bacterial small subunit ribosomal RNA", at positions 140 to 355 of the family's 1533-position model. The record is from RNAcentral. Lineage: Bacteria; Bacillati; Actinomycetota; Actinomycetes; Bifidobacteriales; Bifidobacteriaceae.